Molecule: long non-coding RNA, 6664 nt
Filed under: Homo sapiens (human)
Lineage: Eukaryota; Metazoa; Chordata; Mammalia; Primates; Hominidae
Description: HSALNT0117568
Source: RNAcentral
AUUUAAAUAGACAUUUCUCAAAAGAAGACACACAGAUCACCCUGACAUUUAAAAAAAUUCCUGGACCUCACCCAGCCAGGUUCUCCAAUGUGAGCACCUUCAGAGUCACCGGCAGGGCUUGAGAAGGCCCCCGAAUUUGCAUUUCCAGUGGUUCCUGGGUGACACCGACACGGCUGGUCUGGGGGUCAUGUUUUGAGAACAUCACCUUCUCCAGAGAAGAGACCUGGAAGUGAGUCUUAUAAAGCCACAUACAAGAUUGUGUCACACACACACCUGCCUGGGGCCUUGGGGGCUGGAGUAGAAGGCGCAGAGGCUGCUCCAAAAGGAGGAGGCCAGAGGGCACUUCUGCAGGGGGGCUGCAGCACCCACACCAGGAGGGCAGCAGAGUGUUUGCAAACAAGCCACCCAUCCAGACUGCAGCCUGGGGAGGAGGGAGGGGGCCUCUCCAGGCCUCAGGCCGCUGUGCCCACGGUAGGCUGGUGGUGUGAGCCGUCGUCCAUCCAUGAUGGUGAAGAAAGCCUCUCCAGCUCUAAGGCCACCUCCUGUCACCCAGGCAUGGGAGAAAGUGGCUGACGCUGAAGACCCCAGCCCCCUCACCAAGGGAACCCCCAGCCCCAGCCCCUUCUGGAAGGCAUGGACUGCCUGGAGCCCAGCCCGGUCAGCCAGCUGAGCUAAGAGGAUCUGGACCCUCAAUGCUCAGAACGGAGAGUGGCAGACAAGGGGCCUGGUCUGGAAAACUGAUCCCCAGCAAAGCCUCCUGCUGAGUGACGUCUUCGUGCAGGUCCCGCUGGUGACCGUGGCCCAUGGGAUGUCUCUGACCUGCAGCAGCGUCACUCACCCCUCUGAGCAAGCUCUGGGAGGCAGCGUCCCUGUGGAUCUGGCAUCUGUAGAGACUGCACCAUGAACAGCCUUCACUCAGGAGGCAGGUGAUGGCCAGGACUCCCUGAGACAGGGGACGCAGAAGGAAGGGGCAGCGGGCUGUGCCCUGGGGGGAUCACACUCCCCUGCUCGCAGCUCAGGGGAGCUGGGGGUGGGUGCUGGAUCCCCUGAGGCAGCAGGAGACCCCUGCCUUCAGCUCAGAGUGAGCCUCCCCUUUGUCCUGCCUCCCAUCAGCUUGAAGCUGCCUCAGUUUCCCUCCCUCCUGGCCCUCAUGAACCUCCUGGUGGGUCCAGGGCUUUGGCCAGCAGAGCUAGUGCAUGAAGUGUGGAGAUGCGGGAUGGCAUUGCCCCCGGCAGGGACCCCGCGAGCCUGCAUGCACGCUGUGCAGACUGAUGAGCCGUCCACGGCACUGACUCAAACCAUCCAGAGGGGAGUGGGGGAUGCCCACAGGUGGGGACACUGAGGCACCGAGAAGGGACCGACCCAGGGUCCUGCUUAAAGAGAGACAUCAGGAGACGCCUGGCACAGACAAGACUUAUUUUUCCGGGUGCCUCCCACUAAGCCCUGCUAUAAAUCCAGGAAACUGCACGUGCAGUGGACAGAAAAUUCCAAAGCAUGCAAGUGGUCAGGGCCCAGGUGGGAGAGACGGCCGGGUGACAGGAAGGAAGAGAGCCAGGCUGGGCAUUUCCUGACUCCCAGCCUAGCAAGAGAAGGCAGCUGGGGGGUGGGAGCCAUUCCCCUGCCAGGUGCAACAGGGGCCUUGAGCAGGGGGCUCGGCACAGCAAACCACGCCCAGAAAGCCCCUUGGUCCCUGUGGGCCUGAGACCCUCCUCCCCACCAAGAAGUACGGGUGGCAUCGGUAGGGGAAUGCCACAGCAUGCUGGCUCAGCACAGGAAGCGACCAUCGGGUAGAAACUUCCUUCCCCACCUAGAGCUGCCACAUGGCCGGGGAAAUCCCCGGCCCCUCAGGAAGCACCAGUGGAAACUCUGCCAGCACCAGAUCAACCAAGGAUACCCAGACGGCACCACCCAUCCCAAAGAGUAAAAAUGUCAGGAACCACAGUUCAUGACACCAGCCAGGACCUGGUGCCAACCUACAGGGCGGUGGCCUAGGAAAAUAAAGUACAUCCACAGGACUCAGAGUCUCUAAGCAGGGCCAAAAUGCCCAGGAUACAAGCAAAAGCUGCUCAUCACAGCAAAAGCUGGAGGACACACACGUGAAUGAGAAAAGACAAUGAAUGACACCAGUGCCAGGACCAGCUCGAGGCUGAGGACACGACCAGGAGGCCAGGGUUGUCACCACAGGGCACCAUGACAAAGCAAUGCACUCUCCAGAAACAAAUGAAGUAGAAGACCUCAGCAAAGACACAGAAGUUAUCAGAAAGAACCAAAGGGAAUACACAGAGCUAACAACUACAAACACAGAAACAAAACUCUCCGGAUGUACUCAGUAGUAAAGUGAAGAUGGCAGAGGACACAGCCAGUGAACCUGAGGACACAGCAGUAGAAUGGGCCCAAUAAGAACCAUAGAGAGAGAAAGGGAGGGAGGAAGGGAGGAGGGAGGAAGGAAGGGAGGAAGAGAGGGAGGGAGAAAGGAGAGGAAAAAGGGAGAAGUGAGGGAGGGAGGGAAGGAGGAGGGAACAGAGGAAGAAAAAACGAACAGAGCUUCAGGAACCAGUAGAACAAUAACCAAAGACCCACCCGAUUUUCAGGAAGAGAACAGGACUGACUGAGGAUUUGAAUAAGUAAUAAUGGAAUACUUCUCAAAUGUGGUGAAAAACAUAAACUCACAGAAUGAGUGAAAAUAAAAAUACAUCAAAAUGUGUGGUAUGAAGCAGAGCUUAGAGGGAAAUUUAUAGUACCAAAUACUUAAUAUUAGAAAAAGAGAAAGCAUCUCAAAUCAAUCAUCUAAGUUUUGGCCUCAGGAAACUAGAGAAAGAAGAACAGAUUAAAUGAGAAGUGGGAAGAAGGAAGGAAAUGAUAAAGGACAGAAAUUAAUGAAAUUGAAAACAAGAAAACAACAGAGAAAAUCAAUCAACAUAAAUUGGUUCUUUUGAAAAUCUGUAAAAUUGAUAAACCACUAGCAAGACUGACAAAAAUAAAAAGAAGACGCAAAUCACCAAUGUCAGAGAUAAAACAGGGGAUAUCACUACAAAUCCUGUGGUCAUUAAAAGGAUCAUAAGAAAAUACUAUGAAUAACUUUACACUCAUGAGUUUGACAACUUAGAAGAAAUGGACCAAUUCUUUAAAAACAUAAGCCAUCAAAACUCAACCAAGAUGAAAUAGAUCAUUUGAAUAGUCUUAGAACCAUCACAGCAGUUGAAUUCAUAAUUUAAAAGUUCCCCAAAAAGAAAUCUCUCAGAUCAGAUGGUUUUACUGGAGAAUCUUACCAAACAUUUAAAGGAGCAACACCAAUUUUACACAAUUUCUUCCAGAACACAGAAGAGGAAGGAACACUUUCCCACUUAUUUUGUGAAACUGGCUCUAUCCUGACACCAAAUUAAAGACUAGUUUUAAAAUCCUACUACAGACCAGUGUCUCUCCUGAACAUAGAGGCAAAAAUCCUCCACUAAAUACAAGCAAAUAUAAUCCAACAAUGUAUAAAAAUAAUUAUACACCAAGAACAAGUGAGACUCAUACCAAAUACGUGAGAUUGACUGAGCACUGAAAAAUCAGAUGAUGCAACCCAUCAGAUUAACAGGCUAAAGAAGAGGAAAAUGAUAUAACUUUAUCAAUCUAUGCAGAAAAUAUAUUUGAGAUUGGCUGAGCAUUGAAAAAUCAGAUGGUGCGAUCCAUCAGAUUAACAGGUUAAAAAAAGAGGAAAAUGAUAUAAUCUUAUCAAUCUAUGCAGAAAAUGUAUUUGGCAUAAUUCAACACACAUUCUUAAUAAAAAUUAUUGGCAAAUUAGAAGUAGCAGGGAACUUCCAUAACUUGCUAACAAGCAUCUACAAAAUCCCUGCAGCUAACCUCACUUAAUAUAAAAGGCCAAAUGCUCUUCCCUGAGAUCAGGAGCAAGACAAGGAUAUUCAUUCCCACCACUUUCAUUCAACACGCUGGAAGUUCUAUUCACUGCACUAAGGUAAGAAAAAUAAAUAAAAGGCACACGGAUUGGAAAGGAAGAAAUAAAAUGAUCUCUGUUUAUCAAGGGCAUUAUUAUUCACAUGGACCAUCCCAACAAAUGUACAAAAAACAAAAAACUAAUUAGUGAGUUCAGUGCAAUCACAGGAUACAAGAUCGACAUUCAAAAAAUCAAUCACAUUUCCAUAGACUAACAAUGAAAAUGUGGAAACAAAAUUUUAAAAUGUAUUAUCAUUUACAAGCACUCCAAGAAUAAUGAAAUGCUUAGACAUAAACUUGAUAAAAUAUGUCUAGUACUUGUAGGCUGAAAAUUACAAAAUGCUGAUGAAAGGACCAAAAAAGACCUAAACAAAUGAAGAAAGAUAUACCAUGUUCAUGGAUUGGAAGACUCAACAUAGUGUCACCUACCAUGAGACUGAUCUAUUGAUUUAAUGAAAUCUCUAUCUAAAUCCCCCAAGUCUCUUUGUAAAUAUAGACAAGCUUAUUCUAAAAUUUAUAUGGAAAGGCACAGGCUCCAGCUAAACAAUCUUGGAAAAAGCAUGAAGAGCUACUCUGCUGGGUAUAAAAGAUUACUGUCUUCACCAAGUCCGUAUCAAAAGAGGUUUGGACACAUAGAUGAAUGGAACAGCAGGGAACUCAGACAUAGACCCACACAAAUAUGCCCUGCUGGUUUCCAACAGAGGUGCAAACAUAAUUCCGUGGAGGAUGGGUGGCCUUUCAACAAAUGGUGUUGGAGCAAUUGGACAUCCAUAGGCAAAAAAUGAGUAUCCACCAAAACCUCACACCUUAUACAAAAUGCAAACAAACAAACAAACAAAAAACCUGUUAUAUUGAAACCAAAGUUUGAAAACUCGACACCAAAGGAAAAAUUCGUAAAUUGCACUUCAUCAAAAUUAAAGACCUUUACUCUGCAAAAGACCUUAUAGAUGAAAAGGUAAAUGCAGACUGAGGGGAAAUGUUUGCAAACCAUAUUUCUAAAUAAGAACUAGAAUCUCAUAUAUAUAAAGAAUACUUAAGAACUCUCAGCCAGGCGCGAUGGCUCACGCCUGUAAUCCCAGCACUUUGGGAGGCUGAGGCGAGUGAAUCACGAGGUCAGGAGAUCAAGACCAUCCUGGCUAACACAGCGAAACCCCGUCUCUACUAAAAAUACAAAAAAAUUAGCCAGGUGUGGUGGUGGGCACCUGUAGUCCCAGCUUCUCGGGAGGCUGAGGCAGGAGAAUGGUAUAAGCCCAGGAGGAGGAGAUUGCAGAGAGCCGAGAUCACGCCACUGCACUCCAGCCUGAGCUACAAAGCAAGACUCCAUCUCAGAAAAAAAAAAAAAGAUUGCUAAACGUGAACUACCAUAUCACCCAGCAAUUGCACUCUUGGGCAUUUAUCCAGAGAAAUGGAAACUUAUGUUCACACUAAAACCUGGACUUGGAAAUUUAUAUCAGUUUUAUUCAUAAUAGCCAAAAACUAGAAACAGCCUAGAUUUCCUUCAGCAGACGAGUGGCUGAGUAAACUGGGUGCAUCCACGUCACGGGAUGUGGCUCCACAAAGAAAUGGAAGAAACUAGAACUCUGAUGACUCUCUAGGGAAUUUUGCUGAGUUAAAACAACCCCAAAAGGUCUCAUACUAUGUGAUUCUCUGUAUAUAACAUUCUGGAAAUGACGAAAUUGUGGAAAUGGAGAACAGGUGAGUGGUUGCUUGCGUUUCCAGAGAGAGAGAGGGGUGUGGUUAUUAAAAGGCAGUGGGGUUCUCAUGCUGACGCGUGUCUGCCUCUUGACUGCAGUGGGGGCUCAACCACCUGCACCUGUGAUCAAUUGCAUGGGGCUAAACACACACGUGUGUGGUACACCUGACAUGGCUUAAAUGCUUGUCCUCAAAAAUCUCAUAUUGAAAACUGAUCCCCCGUGUUGGAAGUAGAGCCUGCUGGGAGGUGUUGGAUCAUAAAAGUGAGUCCCUCUCAAAUGGCCCAGCACCAUCCCCUUGGUGACGAGUUCCUGCUCAGUUAGUUCAUGCAAGGAUCUGGUUGUGUAAAAGUCUGAGACCAGACCGGCACAGUGGCUCAUGCCUGUAAUCCCAACAUUUUGGGAGGCCAAGGCGGGCAGAUCAUCUGAGGUCAGGAGUUCGAGACCAGCCUGGCCAACGUGGUGAAACCCCGUCUCUACUAGAAACACACACAAAAAAUUAGCCGGGCGUGGUGGCGGGUGCCUGUAGUCCCGGCUACUCGGGAGGCUGAGGCAGGAGAAUUGCUUGAACCCGGGAGGCGGAGGUUGCAGUGAGCCGAGAUUGAGCAAUUGAACUCCAGCCUGGGUGACAACAGUGAAACUGUCUCAAAAAAACACAAAAUGUCUGGGGCCUCCCCAUUGUCUGUCUCCUGCUCUGGAUCUGCCUUCAACCUUCCGCCAGGUUGGAGCUCCCUUAGGCUCUCACCAGAAGCGGAUGCCAGCGUCAUCUUUCCCGUGCAGCCUGCAGAAACAUUAGCCAAAUAAACCUCUUAUAAACCACCCAGCCUCAGGCAGUCCUUUCUAGCAACACGAGAAUGGCCUCACACAACACACAAAUGAGAGACUCAAACAGUGCAAGGUUCUGGUCGUGGGGCAGCGCUACAGACGCCACGGGAGGCUGAGGGAAUCAGGAGUGCCCCCUUCACCCUUUUUCUAUUCUUUCUUACGGCUGAAUAUGGGUCUACAAUGAUCCCAAAAGUUGAAAAAUGUAUUUCAAA